UCGGUUGAUCCUGCCGGAGGCUACCGCUAUUGGAGUUCGAUUAAGCCAUGCGAGUCGCGAGAAUUAGAUUCUCGGCGUACCGCUCAGUAACACGUGGGUAACCUGCCCUAUGCUGGAUAAUAACCUCGGGAAACUGAGAAUAAUGAUCCAUAGUUCACUACGCCUGGAACGGUGAGUGGAUGAAAGCUCCGGCGGCAUAGGAUGGGCCUGCGGCGUAUCAGGUUGUAGGGGGUGUAACGUACCCUCUAGCCCUCUACGCGUACGGGUGUUGGGAGACAUAGCCCGGAGAUGGAUUCUGAGACACGAAUCCAGACCCUACGGGGUGCAGCAGGCGCGAAAACUUGGCAAUGCGAGAAAUCGUGACCAGGGAACUCCAAGUGCAUGGGGUAAGACCCAUGCUUUUCUUGACUCUAAAUAGGUCUUGGAAUAAGGGGUGGGUAAGGACGGUGCCAGCCGCCGCGGUAAUACCGGCGCCUCAAGUGGUAGUCGCUUUUAUUGGGCCUAAAACGUCCGUAGCCGGUCUGAUACAUUCGUGGGUAAAUCAACCAGCUUAACUGGUUGAAUUCUGCGAGGACGGUCAGACUUGGGACCGGGAGAGGUGUGGGGUACGCUCAGGGUAGGGGUAAAAUCCUGUCAUCCUGAGCGGACCACCUGUUGCGAAGGCGCCACACUAGAACGGAUCCGACGGUCAGGGACGAAGCCUAGGGGCACGAACCGGAUUAGAUACCCGGGUAGUCCUAGGUGUAAACGCUGUGGACUUGAUGUUGGGGGUGCUCCGAGCACUCUCAGUGUCGAAGCGAAGGUGAUAAGUCCACUGCCUGGGAAGUACGGUCGCAAGGCUGAAACUUAAAGGAAUUGGCGGGGGAGCACCGCAACCUGAGGAUUGUGCGGUUUAAUUGGAUUCAACGCCGG
Molecule: ribosomal RNA, 912 nt
Filed under: uncultured marine archaeon
Lineage: Archaea
Description: bacterial SSU rRNA
Rfam family: Archaeal small subunit ribosomal RNA
Source: RNAcentral